AGUGAACGCUGGCGGUAGGCCUAACACAUGCAAGUCGAACGGCAGCACAGUAAGAGCUUGCUCUUACGGGUGGCGAGUGGCGGACGGGUGAGGAAUACAUCGGAAUCUACUUUUUCGUGGGGGAUAACGUAGGGAAACUUACGCUAAUACCGCAUACGACCUACGGGUGAAAGCAGGGGAUCUUCGGACCUUGCGCGAUUGAAUGAGCCGAUGUCGGAUUAGCUAGUUGGCGGGGUAAAGGCCCACCAAGGCGACGAUCCGUAGCUGGUCUGAGAGGAUGAUCAGCCACACUGGAACUGAGACACGGUCCAGACUCCUACGGGAGGCAGCAGUGGGGAAUAUUGGACAAUGGGCGCAAGCAUGAUCCAGCCAUACGGCGUGGGUGAAGAAGGCCUUCGGGUUGUAAAGCCCUUUUGUUGGGAAAGAAAAGCAGCAGGUUAAUACCCCGCUGUUCUGACGGUACCCAAAGAAUAAGCACCGGCUAACUUCGUG
Molecule: ribosomal RNA, 492 nt
Filed under: uncultured bacterium
Lineage: Bacteria
Description: partial 16S ribosomal RNA
Rfam family: Bacterial small subunit ribosomal RNA
Source: RNAcentral